This 251-nucleotide ribosomal RNA is filed under the name Escherichia sp. E3356. Its description in RNAcentral is "partial 23S ribosomal RNA". It matches the Rfam family "Bacterial large subunit ribosomal RNA", at positions 2694 to 2925 of the family's 2925-position model. Lineage: Bacteria; Pseudomonadati; Pseudomonadota; Gammaproteobacteria; Enterobacterales; Enterobacteriaceae. The record is from RNAcentral.
AGAUGGACGGCAUCACUGGUGUUCGGGUUGUCAUGCCAAUGGCACUGCCCGGUAGCUAAAUGCGGAAGAGAUAAGUGCUGAAAGCAUCUAAGACACGAAACUUGCCCCGACGAUGAGUUCUCCCUGAGACUUAGAGUCUCCUGAAGGAACGUUGAAGACGACGACGUUGAUAGGCCGGGUGUGUAAGCGCAGCGAUGCGUUGAGCUAACCGGUACUAAUGAACCGUGAGGCUUAACCUUACAACGCCGAAG